This 506-nucleotide ribosomal RNA is filed under the name uncultured bacterium. Its description in RNAcentral is "bacterial SSU rRNA". It matches the Rfam family "Bacterial small subunit ribosomal RNA", at positions 10 to 507 of the family's 1533-position model. The record is from RNAcentral.
AGUUUGAUCAUGGCUCAGAGUGAACGCUGGCGGCAGGCCUAAUACAUGCAAGUCGAACGGCAGCACAGCAGAGCUUGCUCUGUGGGUGGCGAGUGGCGGACGGGUGAGGAAUACGUGGGAAUCUGCCCAGUCGUGGGGAUAACGUAGGGAACUUACGCUAAUACCGCAUGCGCCCUUCGGGGGAAAGCCGGGGACCUUCGGGCCUGGCGCGAUUGGAUGAGCCCACGUCGGAUUAGCUAGUUGGCGGGGUAAAGGCCCACCAAGGCGACGAUCCGUAGCUGGUCUGAGAGGAUGAUCAGCCACACUGGAACUGAGACACGGUCCAGACUCCUACGGGAGGCAGCAGUAGGGAAUAUUGGACAAUGGGCGCAAGCCUGAUCCAGCCAUGCCGCGUGAGUGAAGAAGGCCCUCGGGUUGUAAAGCUCUUUUGUCCGGAAAGAAAAGCGCCAGGUUAAUACCCUGGUGUCCUGACGGUACCGGAAGAAUAAGCACCGGCUAACUUCGUG